This 468-nucleotide ribosomal RNA is filed under the name uncultured bacterium. RNAcentral describes it as "partial 16S ribosomal RNA". It matches the Rfam family "Bacterial small subunit ribosomal RNA", at positions 28 to 507 of the family's 1533-position model. The record is from RNAcentral.
GACGAACGCUGGCGGCGUGCCUAACACAUGCAAGUCGAACGGAAAGACCCUGAGUUUGUGGGGUGCUCGAGUGCCGAACGCGUGAGUAACACGUGAGUAACCCGCCCUUGACUUUGGGAGAACUUCACGAAACAGGGGCUAAUACAGGAUAGAAGCUCCUGCUGCGUGGUGGGGGAUGGAAAGAGUCGGCGGUGGGGGCUGGACUGGCGGCUUAUCAGCUUGUUGGUGGGGUAGUGGCUUACAAAGGCUUUGACGGGUAGCCCGCCUGAGAGGGUGACCGGCCACAUGGGGACUGAGGUACGGCCCAGACUCCUACGGGCGGCAGCAGUGGGGAGUAUUGCAGAGUGGGCGGAAGCCUGAUGCAGCGACGCCGCGUGCGGGAUGACGGCCUUCGGGUUGUAAACCGCUUUCGACUGUGACGAAGCGGGCGUGACGGUAAUGGGUAAAGAAGCACCGGCUAACUACGUG